AUGUCUAAGAUUAGCCAUGCAUGUCUCAGUAUAAGCCUCUAUACGGCGAAACUGCGAAUGGCUCAUUAAAACAGUUAUAGUUUAUUUGGUGGUCAGCAAUUACAUGGAUAACCGUGGUAAUUCUAGAGCUAAUACAUGCGCCCAAACCCGACUUCGUGGAAGGGUUGUGUUUAUUAGAUACAGAACCAACCCAGGCUCCGCCUGGCCUUGAGGUGAUUCAUAAUAACCGAACGAAUCGCAUGGCUAUGCCGGCGAUAGACCAUUCAAGUUUCUGACCUAUCAGCUAUCGUCGGUAGGGUAUUGGCCUACCGUGGCAAUGACGGGUAACGGAGAAUUAGGGUUCGAUUCCGGAGAGGGAGCCUGAGAAACGGCUACCACAUCUAAGGAAGGCAGCAGGCGCGCAAAUUACCCAAUCCUGACGCAGGGAGGUAGUGACAAGAAAUAACAAUACAGGGCAUACAUGUCUUGUAAUUGGAAUGAGUAAACUUUAAAUCACUUUA
RNAcentral lists this ribosomal RNA (500 nucleotides) under uncultured eukaryote. Its description in RNAcentral is "SSU rRNA". It matches the Rfam family "Eukaryotic small subunit ribosomal RNA", at positions 34 to 537 of the family's 1831-position model. The record is from RNAcentral.